ACGGAAGGCAGCAGUGGGGGAUAUUGCACAAUGGGGGAAACCCUGAUGCAGCGACGCCGCGUGAGUGAAGAAGUAUUUCGGUAUGUAAAGCUCUAUCAGCAGGAAAGAAAAUGACGGUACCUGACUAAGAAGCCCCGGCUAACUACGUGCCAGCAGCCGCGGUAAUACGUAGGGGGCAAGCGUUAUCCGGAUUUACUGGGUGUAAAGGGUGCGUAGACGGCUUUGCAAGUCUGAAGUGAAAGCCCGGGGCUCAACCCCGGAACUGCUUUGGAAACUGUAGAGCUAGAGUGCAGGAGAGGUAAGUGGAAUUCCUAGUGUAGCGGUGAAAUGCGUAGAUAUUAGGAGGAACACCAGUGGCGAAGGCGGCUUACUGGACUGUAACUGACGUUGAGGCUCGAAGGCGUGGGGAGCAAACAGGAUUAGAUACCCUGGUA
Molecule: ribosomal RNA, 434 nt
Filed under: uncultured Clostridium sp.
Lineage: Bacteria; Bacillati; Bacillota; Clostridia; Eubacteriales; Clostridiaceae
Description: partial 16S ribosomal RNA
Rfam family: Bacterial small subunit ribosomal RNA
Source: RNAcentral